This is a long non-coding RNA of Falco peregrinus (peregrine falcon), 1087 nucleotides long. RefSeq lists it as uncharacterized. NCBI's taxonomy places the organism in Eukaryota, Metazoa, Chordata, Aves, Falconiformes, Falconidae. The record is from RefSeq and is a predicted model, not a curated record. The transcript has 2 exons.
CGUAUCACCUGAGCGCCCCUCGCCUCGGCACCGCCGCGUUCCUUGCCGUACAUUUACACGGACGGGACCGAAGGCUUGAAGUCUAAUUCUAGAACAGAAUUAAUCUGCGGAGCCCGUGUUGGUGGCUGCUGGGAGAAAUAAACAUUUUUUUCAGAAAUAACGCUUAGAUCAGUGAAGCAUAACAAGUGUUUGGGUCUUUUUUUUCUCAUCAGUGUUUCUGUCGAGGACAGUGGAGUUGUGCUUAAAAGAUGGAAGUGAUUAAGAGAUGUGAUUGCUCAUAUAUUCCUGAAUAAUCCAAUAGUUAGGGUAGAGCCAGUAAAAAUGCUGUUUUCUAAACGUGGAUUGAAAUUUUCUCCAGCUAUGACGAAUCGUAUCAUUAUGGGAUGUUUGAAAAGAGAAAAUGGAAAUGCAUUUGAAAAUGUUUCCGGUAAAUGAAACUGUUAUUUAUACAUAAUUCAUUGUGAUCAAGUGUCAUAAAUGGGUGAAAAGCCUUCAGAUAUUUGUUUUUAGCUUGUACAUUUGUAAGUCAUGUGUUUAGGAGGACUUGUGUUCAUUUUCAGCCGCCUUAUUGUCCCUUUUUUUACUUUAAUUAUGCAUAAUUUUUACAUAUUAUUUUUCCUUCAUUUUUUCCUGUUUUCUCGAAGGUUUUUCAAACCUGCUUGUCUUACUUGCCUGAUCGUUCCUAAAAUGUGUCGAUCGCAGUCUCAUUCCAGAUGAGCCGUCCCUUCCCGGAGGAAGCCACUGUCUGCCCUGUGCCCGUUCAGUACGUGGUGUUUUGUCGUACGCUGCUGGCAGCUGUGAUCUGUUUCAAGGAGUCAAGUUUUGGGUUGUUGGGUGGGUUUGUUUUUUUUUUCAGUUCAGGUGUGACUGAGCUUGUUAAAAUGUGCAGAGAAAACCAACUUUUCAAGCCACUGUCUGAUCUGAAUUCCGAUUUAACAAGAUGAUGUCCGAAGUCAGCCCUGCCUUGAGGGACAUAGUUCGGGUUUUAAGCCUUUUGUUUUGUUUUGUUUGUUGUUGGGUUUUUUUGUUCAAAAUAAGUUGCAAUCCUUGCGCCAGAAGCAGGAUGGAGGCUAAAGUGCUCAACUCA